This 1994-nucleotide ribosomal RNA is filed under the name Meredithia sp. 1SAfr. Its description in RNAcentral is "eukaryotic LSU rRNA". It matches the Rfam family "Eukaryotic large subunit ribosomal RNA", at positions 51 to 2190 of the family's 3401-position model. Lineage: Eukaryota; Rhodophyta; Florideophyceae; Gigartinales; Kallymeniaceae. The record is from RNAcentral.
CGGAGGAAAAGAAACUAACCAGGAUUCCCCUAGUAGCGGCGAGCGAAGCGGGAAGAGCCCAAGAUGAAAAGCCCUUGCGGGCGUUGUAUUUGAGCGUCUUUGGGGUGUCAGUGCGAGCAAGUUGUAUGGAAAUACACGCCGUGGAGGGUGAGAGCCCCGUCCAACUCGCACAGGACACGCCGUACAAAGUCGUUUCAGACGAGUCGGGUAGCUUGGGAAUGCUGCUCUAAUUGGUGGUAAAUCUCAUCAAAGGCUAAAUAGCGGCCGGAGACCGAUAGCGAACAAGUACCGUGAGGGAAAGAUGACAAGCACUUUGAAAAGAGGGUGAAAAGAGCCUGAAACCGUCAUGGGGGAAGCGGAUUGCGUUGGACUGGUGGGUUGUUGCGUGUUCAGCCGUUUCGGUGCAUUGACGCAGCAACUUAUCCGCCGUGGGUUCUGGAUGGUCGAUUUUGGACUGUUCAGGGCUGAGGGCUCCCUUUUAAAGGUGAGGACGGUGGAGCGACGACGCGAUACGACCCGUCUUGAAACACGGACCAAGGAGUCUAGCGCGGGUGCGAGUCAAAGGGUGCAAGCCCGUGGGCAAAGUGAAAGCGAGUGUAAAAACGAGCAGUUUGGGGCGGCAUGAGAUCGUUGAUCUCAAGACCGACCCUGAGCAGUUGCGCUGGGACCCGAAAGAUGGUGAACUAUGCCGGAGUAGGGCAAAGCCAGAGGAAACUCUGGUGGAGGCUCGUAGCGGUGCUGACGUGCAAAUCGCUCGUCGAACUUGGGUAUAGGGGCGAAAGACUAAUCGAACCAUCUAGUAGCUGGUUCCCUCCGAAGUUUCUCUCAGGAUAGCGGGCCGACAUGUGUUGUUUUGUGCGGUAAAGCGAAUGAUUAGCGCACUCGGGGGCAGUUAGCCUUCGGGCGAUUCUCAAACUUUCAAUGCGCAAGGGUGCCGCUGCUUUGUUGAGCGGCACCGGCAAAAACGUCGGCCCUGUGGGCCACUUUUGGUAAGCAGAACUGGCGAUACGGGAUGAACCGUAAGCGUGGUUAAGGCGCCUCACUGCCCGCUUAGAGACCCCACAAAAGGUGUUGAUUCAUCGAGACAGCAGGACGGUGGCCAUGGAAGUCGGAAUCCGCCAAGGAGUGUGUAACAACUCACCUGCCGAAUGAAUUAGCCCUGAAAAUGGAUGGCGCUGAAGCGGGCGGCCGACACCACGCCGUCUGGUAAAGAAUUAUGAUCAGAUGAGUAGGAGGGCGUGGUGGCCGUGUCGAAGCAUGCGUGCAGACGCGUGUGGAACGGCCACUAGUGCAGAUCUUGGUGGUAGUAGCAAGUAUUCAAGCGAGAUCCUUGAAGGGCGAAGCGGGGAAGGGUUCCACGCGAACAUUGAUUGGGCGUGGGUGAGUCGUUCCUAAGCCGAGUGGCGAUUGCUAAGUAGCGGCGAAAGGGAAGCGGGUUGACAUUCCCGCACACGGAUGUGGAGGCGGUGACGCGUAAUGGGGCGAACACGCUGGCGACGGCGCUGGGCAGAGUUGUCUUUUCUGUUUGACCUACUUUGCACGCGGUGUGGAAUCCGCUUGUCGGGAGAAACACGCGUGUCGGGGCAGAGCGCCGAGGCUUUUUCGGCGUCCAGCUCGCCGUCGACGGCCCUUGAAACUUUGCCUGCUGAUUUAAAUCCACGCCGUGGCGUACCGAUCACCGCAUCAGGUCCCCAAGGUGAACAGCCUCUGCUCGAUAUGAACAAUGCAGGUAAGGGAAGUCGGCAAAUUAGACCCGUAACUUUGGGAUAAGGGUUGGCUCUAGUGCUGCGUGGGAGUGGUUGCCGAGUGUCGGGGUUUUUGGUGAGGCCGGCUUGGCGCGGGCCCCUCGGGGACUGUUCCGGCUGCCGAGCUGAUCGUUCCGCGUUCGGCGACGCCCACAGCAUGCAGCAGACUAGAACUGCAACGGGCAAAGGGAAUCCGACUGUUUAAUUAAAACAAAGCAUUGCGAGGGCCGUGGCCGGUGAUGACGCAAU